UACGGAGGAUGCGAGCGUUAUCCGGAUUUAUUGGGUUUAAAGGGUGCGUAGGCGGGCUUUUAAGUCAGCGGUAAAAAUUCGGGGCUCAACCCCGUCCGGCCGUUGAAACUGGGGGCCUUGGGUGGGCGAGAAGAAGGCGGAAUGCGUGGUGUAGCGGUGAAACGCAUAGAUAUCACGCAGAACUCCGAUUGCGAAGGCAGCGUACCGGCGCCCAACUGACGCUGAAGCACGAAGGCGUGGGUAUCGAACAGG
Molecule: ribosomal RNA, 252 nt
Filed under: uncultured bacterium
Lineage: Bacteria
Description: partial 16S ribosomal RNA
Rfam family: Bacterial small subunit ribosomal RNA
Source: RNAcentral